GGGCCCGUAGCUCAGACUGGAAGAGCGCUGCGCUUGCAACGCAGAGGCCGCGGGUUCAAAUCCCGCCGGGUCCA
RNAcentral lists this transfer RNA (74 nucleotides) under Candidatus Wukongarchaeum yapensis. Its description in RNAcentral is "tRNA-Ala". It matches the Rfam family "tRNA". From Rfam's summary of the family: Transfer RNA (tRNA) molecules are approximately 80 nucleotides in length. Their secondary structure includes four short double-helical elements and three loops (D, anti-codon, and T loops). RNAcentral also lists the same sequence under 3 other names. The record is from RNAcentral. Lineage: Archaea; Promethearchaeati; Candidatus Wukongarchaeota; Candidatus Wukongarchaeia; Candidatus Wukongarchaeales; Candidatus Wukongarchaeaceae.